AGUUGGUGGGGUAAUGGCUCACCAAGCCUGAGAUCGGUAGCCGACCUGAGAGGGUGAUCGGCCACACUGGAACUGAGAGACGGUCCAGACUCUUACGGGAGGCAGCAGUGGGGAAUAUUGGGCAAUGGGGGAAACCCUGACCCAGCAACGCCGCGUGAGGGAAGAAGGUUUUCGGAUUGUAAACCUCUGUUCUUGGAGAAGAGUGGAAGACGGUAUCCAAGGAGGAAGCCCCGGCUAACUACGUGCCAGCAGCCGCGGUAAUACGUAGGGGGCGAGCGUUGUCCGGAAUAAUUGGGCGUAAAGGGCGCGUAGGCGGCCUUACAAGUCAGUAGUGGAAGUCCCAUUUUCAAGGUGGGGAGGGCUAUUGAAACUGUAGGGCUUGAGUGCAGGAGAGGUUAUCGGAAUUCCCGGUGUAGCGGUGAAAUGCGUAGAGAUCGGGAGGAACACCAGUGGCGAAGGCGGGUAACUGGACUGCAACUGACGCUGAGGCGCGAAAGUGUGGGGAGCAAACAGGAUUAGAUACCCUGGUAGUCCACACUGUAAACGAUGAAUGCUAGGUGUAGGGGGUAUCGACCCCUUCUGUGCCGCAGUAAA
This 594-nucleotide ribosomal RNA is filed under the name uncultured bacterium. RNAcentral describes it as "bacterial SSU rRNA". It matches the Rfam family "Bacterial small subunit ribosomal RNA", at positions 247 to 855 of the family's 1533-position model. The record is from RNAcentral.